RNAcentral lists this ribosomal RNA (305 nucleotides) under uncultured bacterium. Its description in RNAcentral is "bacterial SSU rRNA". It matches the Rfam family "Bacterial small subunit ribosomal RNA", at positions 335 to 658 of the family's 1533-position model. The record is from RNAcentral.
ACGCCUACGGGGCGCAGCAGUAGGGAAUCUUUCACAAUGGGCGAAAGCCUGAUGGAGCAACGCCGCGUGCAGGAUGAAGGCCUUCGGGUUGUAAACUGCUUUUAUAAGCGAGAAAUAUGAUGGUAACUUAUGAAUAAGGAUCGGCUAACUACGUGCCAGCAGCCGCGGUAAUACGUAGGGAGCGAGCGUUGUCCGGAAUUACUGGGUGUAAAGGGAGCGUAGGCGGGACUGCAAGUUGGGUGUCAAAUCUACCGGCUCAACCGGUAGCCGCACUCAAAACUGCAGUUCUUGAGUGAAGUAGAGGG